This 364-nucleotide long non-coding RNA is filed under the name Prunus persica (peach). Its description in RNAcentral is "long non-coding RNA (PPER_LNC008662)". The record is from RNAcentral. Lineage: Eukaryota; Viridiplantae; Streptophyta; Magnoliopsida; Rosales; Rosaceae.
UUUUUAUAUUUAAAAAUAGUAUAGCCGCUCGGCUAUACUCUGUUUUGAAUUUUUUUUUAAAGAAAUAUAUGUGUUGACACGUGGGCAUAAUGGCUGGGGGUCUUUUUUUAUAUUUAAAAAUAGUAUAGCCGCACGGCUAUACGCUGUUUUGAAUUUUUUUUGAAAAAGACACGUGGCCCCUAUUGGUUGGGGACUUUUUUUGUAUUUAAAAAUAGUAUAGCCGCACGGCUCUACUGUUUUGUUUUUUUUUUUAAAAAAAAAAUUUUGUAUAUAACAAAAUAUAGUAGAGGCGGGAGGCGUUACUUUUUUUAUUUUAUAAAUUGAAUUUAAUAUAUAGUGUAGACGAGCGGCUAUAUUCUUUUAC